UGGGAGUCGGGAUGGAAGCAUCUGGAAA
RNAcentral lists this non-coding RNA (28 nucleotides) under Rattus norvegicus (Norway rat). The record is from RNAcentral. Lineage: Eukaryota; Metazoa; Chordata; Mammalia; Rodentia; Muridae.